This 301-nucleotide ribosomal RNA is filed under the name uncultured bacterium. Its description in RNAcentral is "partial 16S ribosomal RNA". It matches the Rfam family "Bacterial small subunit ribosomal RNA", at positions 509 to 807 of the family's 1533-position model. The record is from RNAcentral.
CAGCAGCCACGGGAAUACGUAGGGUGCGAGCGUUAAUCGGAAUUACUGGGCGUAAAGCGUGCGCAGGCGGUUGUGUAAGACAGGUGUGAAAUCCCCGGGCUUAACCUGGGAACUGCGCUUGUGACUGCACAGCUAGAGUAUGGCAGAGGGGGGUGGAAUUCCACGUGUAGCAGUGAAAUGCGUAGAGAUGUGGAGGAAUACCGAUGGCGAAGGCAGCCCCCUGGGCCAAUACUGACGCUCAUGCACGAAAGCGUGGGGAGCAAACAGGAUUAGAUACCCGGGUAGUCCCUGUCUCUUAUAC